This 1383-nucleotide long non-coding RNA is filed under the name Sus scrofa (pig). Its description in RNAcentral is "lncRNA (ENSSSCG00055028852.1)". Lineage: Eukaryota; Metazoa; Chordata; Mammalia; Artiodactyla; Suidae. The record is from RNAcentral.
CUCUCCAGCGGGCGGGGCGGGGCCGCCACGGGCCGCCCGCGAGUGGCGCCGGGAGGCGGUCGCCCUACGCCGCCCGGUAGGCCAACGGGCUCCCGGCCCACAGGCGGAAUCCGCCCGGGGAUGUCGCGGCGUGGGGGAGGGCCGAGAAUUCCCGAGGAAAGACAAGUAGCCCGGGUCGAGUCUCAGAAAAUGCGAGGCUCCUCAUCAGGUCAAGCUCAAGGAGGCCUCCAAGGGACCGGGGGAGGCCAGGAAGACUACACCAUAGAUGCUCAGUAUUGAAAAGCGAUGACAGGAGGAGUUCCCGUCGUGGCUCAGUGGUUAACAUAUCCGACGAGGAACCAUGAGGUUGCGAGUUCGAUCUCUGGCCUCACUCAGUGGGUUAAGGAUCCGGCGUGGCCGUGAGCUGUGGUGUAGGCUGGUGGCUACAGCUCCGAUUCGACCCCUAACCUGGGACCCUCCAUAUGUCACAGAGAGCUCCACUCUCUCCUUCUUCCUUCUCCGCCCGAGCCUCUUCCUCCUCUGUGGCACCCUCGUUAGAAGGAAACUACCUGAAUCCAGGUCAUGUGGGUAUAAGCUGGGUGGUGCUUGACUUCAGUCUGGGUCUCAGGUCUGAAGCGUGCUGAUGAUUCAAAGCCUGCUCACUUGACUUCAAAAGCGGGGUUGCUGAUUUCAGGGUGCAGGGUGGUGUCGGGUGGGGUGAGAGCCCCGGCCGACUUUGCAACUGGCGUUCAUUUCGGGGCACUGAGAGGAGCGGGUACCUCGCCGGCAGGUGCCCCAGGCCAGCGCAGACCAAGGUUCUGCUGUGGGAGGCAGAGGGAACUCCGCACGUCCGUCCGGUCUCUGCUGAUCUUGCAGCCAGGGGGUCUAGCACCCUACUUCGCACCUUAUUGGAGUUUCCUUUCGCUGCGGCCAACAGCUCUUCCUUUAGCUCUCGGCCAUGCUUCCUGCCUUGCCCCGACUGCAUUAGGGCAGUCCGCGCCAGGAGUAUCCUGCUGAUAGCUGCCUGGUUCCCAGCCUGCAGAACAUGAAAGGCAGCUGUCUUGCUUCCCUUCUUGGGGCUCUUCAGGCCACAUGGCUUGGGAGCACACCUUUUUGGACGGACUGCGUCCCCAUCAGAUGCUGGGCGAGCGUCUGUGGAAACCUGGGAGCAACCCUGGUCAUGCAGAACCCGAAGUCCCACAAGGCAGGGAGAGCACGGCACGAGUAUGUGUGGACGAUGGAAAGGUGUGACAACGCACUGUGGAGGGGGGAAUAGUGUUAACCUUGGGAUUCACUCUCAGAGUUUGGAAUAGAGAAAAUACUCUCGCCACCCAAUUCUGCAGCACCACAUCUUCCUUCUGUGGACAAAGAAAUGUUUCCCUCGGCCUUUGCCGAGAGAGCUGC